AAAGCUGCCACUGGUCAUAGUUAACACACCUCAAAAGUUGUUUCAUGUUGUCAUAGGUUUCCUUGAUAUUGACUGCAUAACCAACUGGAAUUGAUGGCAAAAAAUUGCCAUUAUGCAGCAAAACAGCUUUAAGACUCAUCUUCGAUGAAUCAAUGAACAGUCUCCACUCAUCGGGAUCAUGGACGAUGUUGAGGGCUGCCAUCACUCCAUCGAUGUUGUUGCAGGCUACAAGAUCACCUUCCAUGAAGAAGAAUGGGACAAGAUCCUUUUGAUGGUCACGGAACAUGGGAACCCUAACAUCACCUGCCAGGAGAUUCCACUGCUGAAGGUGCCACACCAUGAGCGGGAAGGACCGCUCAGCACUUCCUGCGAGCUGAGCCUCCGAUUGUUUGGGGAUGCGAGGCGGAAAGGAGGAGCGGUCGUGAGCGGAAAAACAAUUGAGCAGCACUCGGGGCUCCGAGAUGCCAAACGAGAAGGCACUGCCAGCAGCAGCAGGCGAGGAGAACGCUCCUGAACGAGACACGUGGAAACCGGCCUGGUCAUGGUUGGCGGGGGACUUACAAAAAACGUGUAAUCAUCAUCGUCAUGCGGCAAUAACUGAACAUUAUCUCGCCUUUAUUUAUUCGUUGCGCGUUUCAAAAUAAAUAUGUCCUAGGUGUGCACGAAACUAUAUAUAUAAAAUAUAACACACCUUUUUGCGCGUUGUAUAAUAUUAGCUGUGUGCCCUUGGAAUCCAAUUCUGGUUACAUUAAUGACAAUGACAAUAUAAUUAAACACAUCAGCCGCUACUAAGCUUAGCUCUGUUAAAAAUGUGUUGGACUCAGAUGCCAGUGAAGUCGACUACAAUUACAAGUUACACACCGUGGACAGAAACAAUAACAACAACUUACAGACACCAUGCCAAUCCACUGCUGGAUGAAAGCCUCCCCCGCUCUGUGUCGGUCGUUCGGGUUGUUCACCACGUUGGUCGGCGAAGAGAGUAUACCUAUAAUACACCCCGUGUAUAUCAGUAUAAAACAAAGUCAAAGAUUCCCCGUAUAGCCUGAACAGACUGUUGGAGCAAGUGCUGUUAGCGAGCACCUGUGAAGGCCGGAA
Petromyzon marinus (sea lamprey) is the source of this 1095-nucleotide long non-coding RNA. RefSeq lists it as uncharacterized. The record is from RefSeq and is a predicted model, not a curated record. Lineage: Eukaryota; Metazoa; Chordata; Hyperoartia; Petromyzontiformes; Petromyzontidae.